AUGCUGCAGACUUCGGCCGAGGUGUGGGGCGCCAUCCAUGCCACGUUCGUUGCCCAGACACGAGCCGAGUCCGUGAACACCAGAAUCGCGCUUGUUAACCUUCAGAAGGCUAACUCCAGCAUGACGGAGUACCUCGCCCAAAUCAAAGUGCUCUCUGAUGAGAUCACUCUCGCUUGUGUGCCCCUCUCCAACCACGAGAUCAUCUCCUAUGUCUGCUCAGGUCUGGACCUUGAGUACAACUUUGUGGUCUCAGCCCUUGACCGCGUCGAGCUUGUCACGCCCCUGGAGCUUUACAGCCAGCCGAUGAGCUUUGAGGCACAACUCAACCUUUCCCAAGGGACGCCCGUACAAUAG
RNAcentral lists this ribosomal RNA (354 nucleotides) under Triticum aestivum (bread wheat). Its description in RNAcentral is "partial small subunit ribosomal RNA". Lineage: Eukaryota; Viridiplantae; Streptophyta; Magnoliopsida; Poales; Poaceae. The record is from RNAcentral.